This 425-nucleotide ribosomal RNA is filed under the name uncultured bacterium. Its description in RNAcentral is "partial 16S ribosomal RNA". It matches the Rfam family "Bacterial small subunit ribosomal RNA", at positions 354 to 796 of the family's 1533-position model. The record is from RNAcentral.
GUGGGGAAUCUUGCGCAAUGGGCGAAAGUCUGACGCAGCCAUGCCGCGUGAAUGAUGAAGGUCUUAGGAUUGUAAAAUUCUUUCACCGGGGACGAUAAUGACGGUACCCGGAGAAGAAGCCCCGGCUAACUUCGUGCCAGCAGCCGCGGUAAUACGAAGGGGGCUAGCGUUGCUCGGAAUUACUGGGCGUAAAGGGCGCGUAGGCGGACAGUUUAGUCAGAGGUGAAAGCCCAGGGCUCAACCUUGGAAUUGCCUUUGAUACUGGCUGUCUUGAGUACGGGAGAGGUGAGUGGAACUCCGAGUGUAGAGGUGAAAUUCGUAGAUAUUCGGAAGAACACCAGUGGCGAAGGCGACUCACUGGCCCGUUACUGACGCUGAGGCGCGAAAGCGUGGGGAGCAAACAGGAUUAGAAACCCUUGUAGUCC